This 444-nucleotide ribosomal RNA is filed under the name Triticum aestivum (bread wheat). RNAcentral's name for it is "partial small subunit ribosomal RNA". Lineage: Eukaryota; Viridiplantae; Streptophyta; Magnoliopsida; Poales; Poaceae. The record is from RNAcentral.
CUACAACAGCCCCCAAAUAGCCCCGAGUUAAAUUGUUUGGACCUCUGCUUCCAUAGCUCUCUCCAGUCUCUAACCGACUGCAGGUCACCUACAAACAUCCAGGAACUGGUACAGGGUGUGGAAGAGGAAUUCGAGAACUACGAUCCCGACAAGUUGCACAGAAGCUUUAUCACAUUAGAAGCAGUUAUGUUUGAAGUUAUGAAAGACAAAGGAGGAAAUCAAUAUAAGUUGCCCCACUUGCACAAGGAUCGCGUUCAGAAUGCUGGAAUGGAAAUAACCGGUGUAUAUUGCGACAGUCGGGUAGUUGUUGAUACUAGGGCCAUUAUAGAAGAAAUGGAAAUUGCAAUAGGAAAAGAAAAUGAAAGGAAAGAAUUAGCUAGAGAAGGGAAAAGAAAGAAAAGUAAAGGGAAGGGAAUGGAAGAAGUGGCCAGAGAAAGAAUGUAG